RNAcentral lists this ribosomal RNA (520 nucleotides) under Alternaria tenuissima. RNAcentral's name for it is "eukaryotic LSU rRNA". The stretch from base 155 to 308 matches the Rfam family "5.8S ribosomal RNA". Lineage: Eukaryota; Fungi; Ascomycota; Dothideomycetes; Pleosporales; Pleosporaceae. The record is from RNAcentral.
GACGCGGGCUGGACCUCUCGGGGUUACAGCCUUGCUGAAUUAUUCACCCUUGUCUUUUGCGUACUUCUUGUUUCCUUGGUGGGUUCGCCCACCACUAGGACAAACAUAAACCUUUUGUAAUUGCAAUCAGCGUCAGUAACAAAUUAAUAAUUACAACUUUCAACAACGGAUCUCUUGGUUCUGGCAUCGAUGAAGAACGCAGCGAAAUGCGAUAAGUAGUGUGAAUUGCAGAAUUCAGUGAAUCAUCGAAUCUUUGAACGCACAUUGCGCCCUUUGGUAUUCCAAAGGGCAUGCCUGUUCGAGCGUCAUUUGUACCCUCAAGCUUUGCUUGGUGUUGGGCGUCUUGUCUCUAGCUUUGCUGGAGACUCGCCUUAAAGUAAUUGGCAGCCGGCCUACUGGUUUCGGAGCGCAGCACAAGUCGCACUCUCUAUCAGCAAAGGUCUAGCAUCCAUUAAGCCUUUUUUUCAACUUUUGACCUCGGAUCAGGUAGGGAUACCCGCUGAACUUAAGCAUAUCAUAG